AUACUCAACGCUCAAAUAAUUGCAUGGUGACACCUUGUGAUCAUUUCUUUCACUCUGGUUGUUUGCAAAGAUGGAUGGACAUAAAGAUGGAGUGUCCAACAUGCCGACGUCCUCUUCCACCCGCUUGAAUAAAUGUUAUUUCUUGAAUUCAUCUUGGUAGAGCAACUGACAUUGCCCGACCUGUUUAGAAAGGUUGGAGACAG
This 203-nucleotide unclassified non-coding RNA is filed under the name Hevea brasiliensis (rubber tree). Lineage: Eukaryota; Viridiplantae; Streptophyta; Magnoliopsida; Malpighiales; Euphorbiaceae. The record is from RNAcentral.